AUUGAACGCUGGCGGCAUGCUUUACACAUGCCAGUCGAACGGUAACAGGCCUUCGGGUGCUGACGAGUGGCGAACGGGUGAGUAAUGCAUCGGAACGUGCCCAGAGGUGGGGGAUAACGCAGCGAAAGCUGUGCUAAUACCGCAUGUGAUCUGAGGAUGAAAGCGGGGGACUAAGCAGCAAUGUUUGGCCUCGCGCCUCUGGAGCGGCCGAUGUCAGAUUAGGUAGUUGGUGGGGUAAAGGCCUACCAAGCCGACGAUCUGUAGCUGGUCUGAGAGGACGACCAGCCACACUGGGACUGAGACACGGCCCAGACUCCUACGGGAGGCAGCAGUGGGGAAUUUUGGACAAUGGGCGCAAGCCUGAUCCAGCAAUGCCGCGUGCGGGAAGAAGGCCUUCGGGUUGUAAACCGCUUUUGUACGGAACGAAAAGGCUCUGGCUAAUACCUGGGGCUGAUGACGGUACCGUAAGAAUAAGCACCGGCUAACUACGUG
Molecule: ribosomal RNA, 492 nt
Filed under: uncultured bacterium
Lineage: Bacteria
Description: partial 16S ribosomal RNA
Rfam family: Bacterial small subunit ribosomal RNA
Source: RNAcentral